Pavo cristatus (Indian peafowl) is the source of this 2784-nucleotide long non-coding RNA. The record is from Ensembl. NCBI's taxonomy places the organism in Eukaryota, Metazoa, Chordata, Aves, Galliformes, Phasianidae.
AUGAGAAGCAUGGAAGAGGCAUUCAGAUUACAGUUAAGAGUGACAUUUUCACCUUCGUUCCCAAAACNGCUCUUUUCCAACCUUAAUGAUUCUGUGAUUCGCAGAGCCAAGCCCUGUCAGACCUCGCAGCAAUGCGUGCUGGGCGCUCUGCGGCUCUGCCUCACGCGUCUCCUCAGCUACGUCCCCUCACGCCCGCCCGUUCCCCCCUCGGCCCGGAAUCCACAGCAGCACCCCGCGUUACCCCAGCUCCCCCGCCCAUGCCCCCGCCGGCACUCCGGGCCUGGCCGCGCCGCCAGCCGCUCCCGUCACCUUCUCCUCCCCGUCGUAGAGGCGUACGCCGCGCUGCUGGAGCACCAGCGUCUCUCCCAGCUCCAGCAGCCCGCUGGUCCAGGAGAACCGAUCCAUGGCGGUCCAGGCAGAACUCUCCCUUCCCCAGGAGAGACCAGGCCGCAGCCACUACUCUCGUCCGGCAGGCACCGGGCGAGCAGGGCCCAGCCCCAACCGCUCCAGCCACGGCGGCGCGGCGCCCUCCAGCGGCAGCCUGAAGAGAGGCCGCCAUUUUCUCGCCGCAGCGCCCUCCAGCGACGGCCCCGGGAACGGCCGCCAUCUUGUCGCCGCGGUGCGGGCAGCACCAUUGGCCCGUUCAAUUCCCGCGGCCGGCCAAUCAGAGAGGCGGAGCGCGGCGGGGAUUUCAAACGGCGCGGCCGCUCCCAGCCUGUCCGGCCAUGGCAGCGCGGCUCCCUCCGCAGCUCCCCUCCAGCCGCAGGUCCGAGCCGGAGUACCGAGAACAGAGAAGACAAAAAGUUGAAGAAUAUCUAUCAAGAAAAAAGACCUUUUCUGGCAUGCCCAUUCACGAAAAUGAGACAUCAAUCAGUAGCAGAACUAGGAAAGCAGCUAGCAAUAAACUGCAAGAUAAAACAAAGCUGUCAGCAUCUCCAAAGCCAGAAAUGGUAAGUCUUUGAUAGUCAAAUACUGAUGGCACUCUUUCUGUGGCUACAGUGUUCUGCUCACUGAAGUCAAGUACCUAAAAUGUAAUUUCCAGAGUAUGAGAAUUUUGCAGGUGCAGAGGCAUAUCUAGUUAAGAUUUUAUCCAAUAAUUGCUUAAUAUACGGUUUUCUUUCAGUCUUCAGGAAUGCUGAUAUUUAAAAUCUUAUCAAGAUCUCCUGUCAGAAUAGCAAAUUCAUCUAGUGUGCUUGUUUGUUGGUUUUUUUUUUUUUUUUUUUUUNUUUAACCUAACUCUGGGUUAUAGAGUUUGAUUCCGCAAAUCAAGGGAGAGUCUAACCCUCUGGGUGGGCCCUCUUACUCCCAAGGCAAAACUUAAACAAUCAUUAUCUGAUUCCUAGAUCUGGAAUAAUAGUUGACAAAUAUUCUACUUGGUGUGUAUAUGUAUGCUACUUCUGUACAUACUAUCACCUUUAAAUUGGCAUUUACUGUUAAUUGAUUCCCUUAAAUGUGUGAAAGCCUCUAGGAAACUUAAAUAGCCUGCAACAUGAACACACAUCUAAUAUAUACAUGGAAAUGCUUCUGAUUUCAGGAAGAUAAGGAGAAUGCCAACGAGCUUUCAUGGGACCGAUCAAGCAGAACUUCAGAAGAAAAUAUUAUUUUAAAAUCUUCUACAAUCACACUGGCAUCGGAGACUAGCUAUAAUCCUCAAGAUCACACUUCAGUGAAUAAAGUCACUGAAAUAAAGUCUCAGUGUGUAUUACUCAGCAAGUCCUUGCAAGUAAAAACCAUGAAAGAGAAACAACUGACGGCAGAAAAACACAGUUCAAAUGUCAGCCUACCAAAGAAACCAGUGCUUGGUACAUAUCGUGGCAGAGUCAUCCAGUCCAAGAUCAACUCCUUCCGCAAAGCACCAAAGAGUGAGGGGGAAAAGAGUUCUUUGUCAGACGAGAAGCCUCUUACUUCUGCCACCAAACCAGCAGUGAAAUCUUUGUCCAGAGGCAGCUGCAGUGUAGUUCUGAAGACUGUCAAAGUCACAAAUCAUCCUAAUUCCAUAAAACCUAGUUGUGUCCUGCCAUUACAGAGCAAGCCAUCUGUCAAACCUGCUAUUAACUCUCAGUCUAGCCUAAAUAAACUGCCAUCAACAUCUGCUGCAGUACCAAAAAAAUUAACAGUCCAAAAAACGAUUGGGAAGAGGGGACCUCAGCAACCAAAGGCUGCUUCUAAGAGUUCUGACCAUGGAACACUGGGAGUGAAGAAAUGUGAGGAACUCUGUGAAGAUGGAAAAGCAGAAGUUCCAGCAAAACAAUCUUCUGUUGUUCCCAGUGGCAAACUUGGACGGGAUUAUAAAGCUAACAACAUCAAGAAAUCUCUUCUGAAAGAAUCGGCAGAGGAGAGAAGGUAAGUGAACUUGUCACUGUAUUGUAGCUUGAUCUUGUGAGGUAUUUACAAGUUCUUUCUGUGGAUAUCUUACUUCAUCUAGUUCUUGCUGUAGGAGAACUGGAUUGUUUGAAAUUGACUAAAACUGUGGGCUUAAUAGUGAGAAAUCGGGAUUCAGACUGGUUGCAAAGCUCUAUAACUGCACAGGCCUAAAAACAUAAGUAUUGUUUGCACUCAUUUUUUCAGGCUGAGUGAUGUGACAGUUUUAAGCAUCACAGUUACUCCUGUAAAUGAACUGCAUGUGAAUGCUAGUGCUUAAAAAAAAAAAAAGGCAUGUUUAUGGACGGAAGGGGGGUACUUAAUGAAAUACUGUUCAACUUGGUGAAUGCAUCCUGGAUGAUGGGAUGAAGAUAAUUCAGAAGUUAGUAUUGAUAGUACUCCUUGUAAAAAGUCACACUGACA